RNAcentral lists this long non-coding RNA (539 nucleotides) under Malus domestica (apple). Its description in RNAcentral is "long non-coding RNA (MDOM_LNC013116)". The record is from RNAcentral. Lineage: Eukaryota; Viridiplantae; Streptophyta; Magnoliopsida; Rosales; Rosaceae.
UUGCAUCUCCUGGUUUUGAUUUUCUACUCCCUGAUUCAAAGAGGUGAGUAGCUUAUUAAGUGUAUCAUCAUCCAAGGACGUACCUGAAUUGAUUUGGGUUGAUUGUUGUGGUGGCUGUGACGGUUCAUAUGGCCACUGAUAGAACUCUUCUGAUGGCGGCAAUUGUUCUUCUUUUUGUGAACCCUGCGUCAAAGAAAUUAGUCCUUCAAGAAUUUCAUUAUAAUUCACGGGCAUACUUUGAUUUGAUUGGAAUUGUUGUGGGGGAUACUGUGGUGGCUGCAUAGGUCUUAAAUAGAACUCGUCUUGCUGCCAAUAUCCACCUUGUUGAAAUUGUUAAGGUUCAUCCCACAUAUAAUCUGAAUUACCUCUCCAAUCUGAAUUGCAAGCGUUGGAAAACAUGUUGCCCCUUGAUUGGUUAUGGCCUUGAUAUCCCCAAACAUCUUCAUUUGCAGAAAAUUGAGGACUUUGAUAUCCUUGCCCAUAGGGCACAUCAAAUGUAGGGACACUUGGCAUUGUGGUCCGUUCGGCAUUAUGAGUCA